AUACAUCAAUUUGGCAGUACAUAUACUGAAAUUGGAAGGAUAUAGAGAAGAUCAGCAUGACUCCUUACAAGGAUGACACACAAAUUUGUGACAUGUUCCAUCUUUUU
This is a small nuclear RNA of Ailuropoda melanoleuca (giant panda), 107 nucleotides long. NCBI's taxonomy places the organism in Eukaryota, Metazoa, Chordata, Mammalia, Carnivora, Ursidae. The record is from Ensembl.